RNAcentral lists this non-coding RNA (175 nucleotides) under Clostridium disporicum. RNAcentral's name for it is "T-box sequence". It matches the Rfam family "T-box leader". From Rfam's summary of the family: Uncharged tRNA acts as the effector for transcription antitermination of genes in the T-box leader family. T-boxes are found upstream of many aminoacyl-tRNA synthetase genes and some amino acid biosynthetic genes usually in Gram-positive bacteria. The record is from RNAcentral. Lineage: Bacteria; Bacillati; Bacillota; Clostridia; Eubacteriales; Clostridiaceae.
UAAAAGACGAUGAAAAGAAUGAGUAGGUAUGUAAUAAAUAUAAAGAGAGGAAGUGGUUGGUGCAAACUUCUUAUUUAUCAUAUUGAAGCUAUCUUGGAGUCUUUAUGCUUUAAGUGAUGUGCAAUUUAGUACAUAAUUAGGGUGGUACCGCGGAAUUCAAGUUUUCGUCCCUUGU